This 426-nucleotide ribosomal RNA is filed under the name uncultured bacterium. Its description in RNAcentral is "bacterial SSU rRNA". It matches the Rfam family "Bacterial small subunit ribosomal RNA", at positions 354 to 796 of the family's 1533-position model. The record is from RNAcentral.
GUAGGGAAUAUUGCACAAUGGGCGAAAGCCUGAUGCAGCAACGCCGCGUGCGCGAUGAAGGCCUUCGGGUCGUAAAGCGCUUUUCGGGGAGAAGAGGAAGGACGGUAUCCCCGGAAUAAGGCUCGGCUAACUACGUGCCAGCAGCCGCGGUAAAACGUAGGAGCCAAGCGUUAUCCGAAUUCACUGGGCGUAAAGCGCAUGUAGGCGGCUUGAUAAGUUGGAUGUGAAAUCUCCUGGCUCAACUGGGAGGGGACGUUCAAUACUGUCGAGCUUGAGGGCAGCAGAGGGAGGUGGAAUUCCCGGUGUAGUGGUGAAAUGCGUAGAUAUCGGGAGGAACACCAGUGGCGAAAGCGGCCUCCUGGGCUGCACCUGACGCUCAGAUGCGAAAGCUAGGGGAGCGAACGGGAUUAGAAACCCGGGUAGUCC